RNAcentral lists this ribosomal RNA (497 nucleotides) under uncultured bacterium. RNAcentral describes it as "partial 16S ribosomal RNA". It matches the Rfam family "Bacterial small subunit ribosomal RNA", at positions 28 to 507 of the family's 1533-position model. The record is from RNAcentral.
GAUGAACGCUGGCGGCGUGCCUAAUACAUGCAAGUCGAGCGAACAGACGAGGAGCUUGCUCCUCUGACGUUAGCGGCGGACGGGUGAGUAACACGUGGAUAACCUACCUAUAAGACUGGGAUAACUUCGGGAAACCGGAGCUAAUACCGGAUAAUAUAUUGAACCGCAUGGUUCAAUAGUUAAAGACGGUUUUGCUGUCACUUAUAGAUGGAUCCGCGCCGCAUUAGCUAGUCGGUAAGGUAACGGCUUACCAAGGCAACGAUGCGUAGCCGACCCGAGAGGGUGAUCGGCCACACUGGAACUGAGACACGGCCCAGACUCCUACGGGAGGAAGCAGUAGGGAAUCUUCCGCAAUGGGCGAAAGCCUGACGGAGCAACGCCGCGUGAGUGAUGAAGGUCUUAGGAUCGUAAAACUCUGUUAUUAGGGAAGAACAAAUGUGUAAGUAACUAUGCACGUCUUGACGGUACCUAAUCAGAAAGCCACGGCUAACUACGUG